This 495-nucleotide ribosomal RNA is filed under the name uncultured bacterium. RNAcentral describes it as "partial 16S ribosomal RNA". It matches the Rfam family "Bacterial small subunit ribosomal RNA", at positions 28 to 523 of the family's 1533-position model. The record is from RNAcentral.
GAUGAACGCUGGCGGCGUGCCUAACACAUGCAAGUGGAGCGACGAACCCGGACUUGUCCGGGGGCAAAGCCGCGAACGGGUGAGUAACACGUGGAUUAUCUGCCCCAAUGACCGGGACAACUCGAGGAAACUCGAGCUAAUACCGGAUGUGCUCUUCGGAGGAAAGGAAGCUUCGGCCUCCGCAUUGGGAUGAGUCCGCGGUGCAUCAGCUAGUUGGUGGGGUAAAGGCCCACCAAGGCGACGAUGCAUAGCUGGUCUGAGAGGACGAUCAGCCACACUGGAACUGAGACACGGUCAAGACUCCUACGGGAGGCAGCAUUGGGGAAUUGUGCGCAAUGCACGAAAGUGUGACACAGCAACGCCGCGUGCGGGAAGAAGGUCUUCGGAUCGUAAACCGCUUUCAGUUGGGACGAGGGUUACACGGUGAAUAGCCGGCGUAACUGACGGUACCUUCAGAAGAAGCCCCGGCUAACUACGUGCCAGCCGCCGCGGUAA